RNAcentral lists this long non-coding RNA (1266 nucleotides) under Cricetulus griseus (Chinese hamster). RNAcentral's name for it is "lncRNA (ENSCGRG00015040261.1)". Lineage: Eukaryota; Metazoa; Chordata; Mammalia; Rodentia; Cricetidae. The record is from RNAcentral.
GGAGAUGUCACUGGAUUCUUAACUAUUUGUGUGUUUGUGUAUGUGGGGGAAGGUGUGUAUGCAUGUGUUUGUGUGUGUAUGUGCAAGUUAGAAUGUGCGUGCAUGCGUGUGUGUGUGUGUGUGUGUGUGUGUGUGUGUGUGUGUGUGUGUGUGUGUGUAGGCCAGAUGUCAAGCCCAAGCAUUUCUCUCAGGAGCUGUCUACCUUUCUUUCUUGGGUUUUUCUGUUUGUUUGUUUGUUUUGGGGGGGCAGACAAGGUUUCUCUGUGUAACAGCUCUGGCUGGCCUGGAACUCCCUUUGUAGAUGGGGCUGGCCGUGAACUCACAGAGAUCCACCUGCCUCUGCCUCCUGAGUUUGGGGAUGAAAGAUGCCUAUAGAGGCUAGAGUUUCUACUGCUGCCUCUGAUGAAAACUCUGAAGCUGAGCUCCACUUUGCACUGGGUCAUCAAUGACAGAUGAUCAACAAAGAAGCCAGUAUCCAGGAAAUAGGGUGAUGGAAUACCACGGUACCUUUUGUUUGGGUUGGAAGACUUAAAUACUAUAGGCAAUUGUUAUUUCCCAUGAUCUACCCAGAUCCAGGAUUGGUUAAUUCAGCGCCUAAAUGAUAUCACUUGAGAUUGUUGUCCAUCUUUAAAGUUCUUAAGUCCUAAGUUCUCUGUUGUCAUGGUUACAGGAUUUGGUUCACAGCUCUGAGCAACCUCUGCUUACCUCAGAGCAGAAAAGGGCCCAUCUUCUCUCUGGUUAAUCUGAGCCACUGAGAACUUAGCCUUGUGGUACACAGCCAUCUUGUAACCCUUUGUGAUGAGAUAUCUAAGAAAGACUCAACUGUUUGAAAGAAAGCCAAACCCAGAGACGAGACACAUCUGCACGCAAAUGUCAAUCUGAGCUCACAAAAGCUUCUGGACUUCUUCCAUGACACAAAAACUUUCUCCUCAACUUGGUUACCUAUCACUUAUAACCCUGAGGACCUACUCAUAUGCUCUACUUGUCAAAAUAAAAAUCAGUUGACCCUCAGCUCCAAUGUCUAUGUGGAGAUAAGAUGAAAACUUUUUGGAGUUGGUUCUUUCUUUCCUCCAUGUGGGUCCCAAGGAUCUAACUCAGGUCAGCAGGCUUGGCAGCAAACAUCUUUAUCUUCUGAACCAUCUCACUGGUCAUCCUUCUCAGUAGUUCUCUUUAGAACUACUGAGAUCAUGAUCAAAAAAGAAAGAUAAGAAAUGGUCACAUGCUACACAGACUGGAGAACUACAUAUGAACAGAUAUCCUGGGCCA